UAGCAGUUUAGAAGAUAUUUUCCUUUUAAUUUGAAUUUUUUUUUUGUUGUUUGGUUCAUUUUAUGGUUUUUUUUUUGUAGAUUUCAAAAAAAUAGAAAACAUAUUUUCUUAAUUUACUUUUUUUUGUUGGUUUUUUUAGCAUAGAUGAUGUUCUUUUUUUUUUUAGAAAUGUUUUUAGAAGACUCAUCCGAAGUGUUUUGUUAGUUUAAGGAGCAUCUGAUACCAACUGUGUAGUAGUUGCGUGUAUUAAUUUGGGAUUAAAUUUGAACACAUAAAAAUACAUCCCUGUUGCAGCUUAAUUCAAUGGUAUGUGAUUAUGAACAAUUGUUUGAAGCGGUUAACAAUAAAUAUGUUAGUGGACAAAGGAUUUGUAGCUAACUUGGGCACAUUGCUGUGUUAGUUAUAUGAUGGGUAAAGGGGUAAUUGUAUUAGGAUUAGAUGGCAUUAGCUGUUGUAAAACAUAAUUAGUAUUUGUAGUUGUGUAACAAGGAUGAUUGACAAUUGUAUCCAAAACAUGUUUAAACAUUCCCAAGCGCUAGCACAUCAUAACAAACAGACUUGAGAUUAUUACUUGCUUCUAUUUGAAAAUUUGGUAUUAAGAAUUGAGUGCCAUAAAGAUUUAUGAAAUAUGAAGAUUACAAAGAUCUGGGUUUGAAGACGUUUUCUUUUUAUGAUCAUGUGUAGUUUAAGAAGAUUAGAAUUUAGGUUUUGAGGUGAAAUUACUGAAAUACCCAUAUGGGUAAAUUUAAUGAUGUGGGAUGCUAGAGGGACCAAGGUUAUUACAUUUGGAAAUGUUUGGGGUAGGACAACAAGAUUUUUGUUUUACAGGGUAAGAGUGUUAGCGCGGUAAAACCCCAUGGGGUAAAAUUGCACUUUACUCUUUU
Molecule: long non-coding RNA, 884 nt
Filed under: Helianthus annuus (common sunflower)
Lineage: Eukaryota; Viridiplantae; Streptophyta; Magnoliopsida; Asterales; Asteraceae
Description: hypothetical non coding rna
Source: RNAcentral